CCGCAUGGACCUUCGGUGGACACACUUCCC
RNAcentral lists this non-coding RNA (30 nucleotides) under Homo sapiens (human). Lineage: Eukaryota; Metazoa; Chordata; Mammalia; Primates; Hominidae. The record is from RNAcentral.